RNAcentral lists this long non-coding RNA (1587 nucleotides) under Felis catus (domestic cat). RNAcentral describes it as "cytochrome P450 family 1 subfamily A member 1 (ENSFCAG00000002016.5)". The record is from RNAcentral. Lineage: Eukaryota; Metazoa; Chordata; Mammalia; Carnivora; Felidae.
GAAGGUGACAGGUCUAGGAGUCUCCCCUGAUCUUCUUUGGGGUCCUGGCUUAAGAGACCACGUAUCUCAGCUGAGUUCAGUACUCCUCACAGCCACAGCCAUCUUGAGAUCUCUACACUGAUGAUGUUGUCUGUGUUUGGACUCUCCGUCCCCAUCUCGGCCACAGAGCUUCUCCUGGCCUCCUUUGUCUUCUGCCUGGUGUUCUGGGUGGUCAGGGCCUGGCAGCCUCGGGUUCCCAAAGGCCUGAAGAGUCCACCAGGGCCCUGGGGCUGGCCUCUGCUCGGGCAUGUGCUGACCUUGGGGAAGAACCCACAUCUGGUGCUGGCAAGGCUGAGCCAGCAUUACGGGGACGUGCUGCAAAUCCGCAUCGGCUCCACACCCGUGCUGGUGCUCAGCGGCCUGGACACCAUCCGGCAGGCUCUGGUGCGUCAGGGUGAUGAUUUCAAGGGGCGGCCCAAUCUCUACAGCUUCACUCUGAUCUCUGAGGGCCAAAGCAUGUCCUUCAGCCCAGACUCUGGACCGGUGUGGGCCGCCCGCAGGCGCCUGGCCCAGAACGCCCUGAAGAGUUUCUCCAUUGCCUCAGACCCGGCUUCCUCAUCCUCCUGCUACCUGGAAGACCAUGUGAGCAAGGAGGCUGAGUACCUCAUUGGCAAGUUCCAGGAGCUGAUGGCAAAAGUUGGGCACUUUGACCCCUAUAGAUAUGUAGUGGUGUCAGUGGCCAAUGUCAUCUGCGCCAUGUGUUUUGGCCGGCGCUAUGACCAUGAUGACCAAGAGCUGCUUAGCAUAGUCAACCUGAGUAAUGAGUUCGGGGAUGGCACUGCCUCUGGGAACCCUGUGGACUUCUUCCCCAUCCUUCGAUACCUACCCAACCCUGCCCUGGAUUUCUUCAAGGAUGUGAAUGAGAAGUUCUCCAUCUUCAUUCAUAAGAUGGUCAAGGAACACUACAAAACUUUUGAGAAGGGUCACAUUCGGGAUAUCACAGACAGCCUGAUUGAGCACUGUCAGGACAAGAGGCUGGACGAGAAUGCGAAUAUCCAGCUGUCCGACGAGAAGAUUGUUAACGUUGUCUCGGACCUCUUCGGAGCUGGAUUUGACACAGUCACAACUGCCAUCUCCUGGUGCCUCAUGUACCUGGUGACGAGCCCCAAUGUACAGGAAAAGAUCCAGAAGGAGCUGGACACAGUGAUUGGGAGGGAGCGGCAGCCCCGGCUCUCUGACAGACUCCAGCUGCCCUACAUGGAAGCAUUCAUCCUGGAGAUGUUCCGACAUACCUCCUUCGUCCCUUUCACUAUCCCCCAUAGGAAGCUAUGGGGUGACCCAUCUGAGUUCCGACCAGAACGAUUUCUCACUCCUGAUGGCACCAUCAACAAGGCACUGAGUGAGAAGGUGAUUCUCUUUGGUUUGGGCAAGAGGAAGUGCAUCGGUGAGACCAUUGCCCGCUUGGAGGUCUUUCUCUUCCUGGCCAUCCUGCUGCAGCAGGUGGAAUUCAGUGUGCCACAGGGCACGAAGGUGGAUAUGACCCCUAUUUAUGGGCUGACCAUGAAGCAUGCCCGCUGUGAGCACUUCCAAGUGCGGAUGCGCACUUAG